AAAAGCUGCGCUAUUUGGAGGAGUUUGAAUCCAAAACUGUCACGCAAUGCUCCCUCCUUGAAGCUUGAAGCAGGACCUAUCAGAAUAAGGCUGAUGAUGGUCACUACAAUGUGUGCUGUGGGAAUGAUGUCCUUCCAAGUGCCAAAAUUUGCAUUUGAGCAAAAUAAAGUCCAAUUAGGAAUGAGAAACCCUGAGCAAGCAAGUGAGGCGAUCGCAGUGUUCAAGACAAAACCAUGCCUACCCUGAGUUCAGACAAAGCAGUAAGAAAAAUUGGCGCAGCUACAGAGCUUUUGGUAUAGUCUAAUGCCAGGGAAAGGAUAAUCACCUUCAUUUUCUUCUCAUUCUCAUCAGAAUCAUUUUCAUCAUCAGGANNNNNNNNNNGAGUACAAGGUGUCCUGUGGGAAUGAUGUCCUUCCAAGUGUCAAAAUUUGCAUUUGAGCAAAAGAAAGUCCAAUAAGGAAUGAGAAACCCCAAGCAAGGAAGUGAGGCGAUUGCAGUGUUCAAGACGAAACCAUGCCUACCCUGAGUUCAGACAAAGCAGUAAGAAAAACUGGCACAACUACAGAGCUUUUGGUAUAGUUUAAUGUCACGAAAAGGAUAAUUACCUUCAUUUUCUUCUCAUUCUCAUCAGAAUCAUUUUCAUCAUCAGGAAUGCCUAUGCCAACAUGAUCAAUUGGACUGUUCGUUGCUCUCUUCUUCUGAAUCAACAAAACAAUACGUCAGAGAGCAAAAAACAAAACUAGGAGGAUAUGGACAGGGAGAGGAAAGAAAACGAUGCAAGUUGUUCUCACCGCUAUUUCCAUCCCAGUAUUUUUAUCAGAGUAACUGCUCCUAAAAUUCGUAGUGUUAUUUGGAACAAUUGGAACUAGUGCAUGUUCCUCAGCAUUUUUGCCACCAUGGUUGCUUGCCUCAGCUCCCACAGGAUUGCUAGCAUGCUGAGCAUUGACGAGUCGAUAAGACACAAUGUCAUUAUGUUCAUGACAUUGGGGCAACAAUAAAGGAAAUAAUCAAAGGGAAGUGGGAGCAUAUACCAUGCCGC
This 1039-nucleotide long non-coding RNA is filed under the name Hordeum vulgare. RNAcentral's name for it is "long non-coding RNA (HVUL_LNC013930)". Lineage: Eukaryota; Viridiplantae; Streptophyta; Magnoliopsida; Poales; Poaceae. The record is from RNAcentral.